RNAcentral lists this non-coding RNA (399 nucleotides) under Pongo abelii (Sumatran orangutan). The record is from RNAcentral. Lineage: Eukaryota; Metazoa; Chordata; Mammalia; Primates; Hominidae.
CCUGUCUGUCAACCCCACACACGCUUUCCCACUUUCAUUUCAGACGUCUCCUGAAAGCUGAGCAUUUGGUAUCUCAAAGCCUCUUACCAGUUUGGAGAGAUAUGGAUCUUCUAAAAUUAAUAAGCUCCUUAAUAUCGACACUGUUUAUCAACACAAAGGACCAAUUUAGGAAGAUUAUAAAAACUGAAGUUUCCGGAACAAUAAAUGGGAGAAUUAAUCUUCUAAAUCAAGGAUGUAUCCCUGAAUCUGGGGAGCUCUCUAUCAAAAUAUACAUGCUGGAACCCUACCAAAGGAAUAAUAAAUCUGGAAUGAGGCCCUGACUGUCUAAUUAGGAAAAGACUCCUUCCUGGAAUUCUGCACAUCUCCCUACACCUUAGUGAUGGUUAAAUAAAUAAUUAU